Molecule: long non-coding RNA, 795 nt
Filed under: Macaca fascicularis (crab-eating macaque)
Lineage: Eukaryota; Metazoa; Chordata; Mammalia; Primates; Cercopithecidae
Description: lncRNA (ENSMFAG00000048155.1)
Source: RNAcentral
GGGGGACCGUCCGCGGGAAUUUGAAGUGGCUGACUGGGCUGCCGGGAGACAGAGGCUCGGGGUCGCGUGCACUUGGCGGCCGGGGAGGUGCCAGUGCCCGGGAGGAAGGCAAGAAAACUGAGGCACAGACAGAUUGUCACACAGCCAGUGAGGUGUUGAUGCCCUCUAAGGCUCAUGCGCGUCAGUGUUUGUGAACAGUAGUAGACCCUUGCCUGCUUUGAUCAUCUCAUCUGUGGGAUCAGGUUUCUUUCAAAAUGAAGAUUCACUCAGUGGUUGUAGCUGUCUUGAUAAGCCAGGUUCUAGUUUACGAAGUUUUAUUCCAGAGGGAAAAAAGCCACUUCACCUAGAAAUCUUCCAAACAAAUCAACUUUUGCUCUGUGAGUAAUCCAGGCUAUCAAGACUACAUUUUAGGUGAGUAGGUUCUCUUUUUUGUUUCUUUUCUGGGUUUUUUUUUUUUUUUUUUGGUGAUAGAGUCUUGCUCUGUCACCUAGGCUGGAGGGCUGUGGCAUGAUCUUGGCUCACUGCAACCUCUUGCUUCUCAGCUCAAGCCAUCCUCCCACCUCAGCCACUUGAGCAGCUGGGACUACAGGCAUGCACCACUACACCUGGCUAAUUUUUGUAUUUUUUCUAGAGAGAGGGUUUUGCCAUAUUGCCCAGGCUGGUCUCGAACUCCUAAGCUCUAGUGAUCUGCCCACCUAGGCCUCCCAAAGUGCUGGGAUUACAGGCGUGAGCCACCGUGCCCGGCCUUUUUUGCCCCUUUUAUCUUUUUAGUUUAUAAGUAGAUUGCCUAUCUCA